CAGGAGUUUACCUCUGCAAGCCAGUUACAGCAGAUUUUACGAUCCCUGCUCCACUGAUCGUCAUGAUUUAUAGGAUUGGUUCUGUUCUUGCAACUGUCUUGGCUUUGACCACAUGGACAUACUAUUAUCCAAAAGAACAAAUGACAAACCAGACAAAGGUCAGUAUUCUGUCACUCACAGAGAGACAGUCACAGAGGCAUGUAGAACAAUGGCCAGUGGCAUUAAAGGAACAGCAGAAGGUUACUGAAAAGAUGAAAAAAGAACCCAAACAAGAACCUGAAACAGUAAGCAAAUAUAAAACAAGUUAUUUCAAUGUGUCUUUAAAUUUGUAACUAUUUGAACUUUUUUACUUUUCAGUAUAUAAUGUGCCAAAAUCAAACAGAUGAACUUGUCUUCACAUCUCAAGUUGUGUCCUUAAGUGGACCCCUCCCUCUUGAGACAGUUUUCAUCCUUCUACUCAUUGACAAAUGUGGAGCUGAUUUAGUGGCAGCCGUCUAUGAAGUGACUCUCCAGUUCCCCAUUGGGAGCGUCCUUGAGUUGAUGUUGGGAUUAACAAGUGUAUAUGCUAUACAUAGACUG
Fundulus heteroclitus (mummichog) is the source of this 579-nucleotide long non-coding RNA. RefSeq lists it as uncharacterized. The transcript is spliced from 4 exons. Lineage: Eukaryota; Metazoa; Chordata; Actinopteri; Cyprinodontiformes; Fundulidae. The record is from RefSeq and is a predicted model, not a curated record.